Small nucleolar RNA from Otolemur garnettii (small-eared galago), 72 nucleotides. Lineage: Eukaryota; Metazoa; Chordata; Mammalia; Primates; Galagidae. The record is from Ensembl.
UGGAUGGAUGAUGAAUACUCAUGUCAUAUAUGUCAAAUAUGAUGAAUAUGUGUCUGGAGCUCUGAGAUUUGU